GGGGUGUUUUCGCGCUAUACAUGCAGUCGAGCGGACAGAAGGGAGCUUGCUCCCGGAUGUUAGCGGCGGACGGGUGACUAACACGUGGGUAACCUGCCUGUAAGACUGGGAUAACUCCGGGAAACCGGAGCUAAUACCGGAUAGUUCCUUGAACCGCAUGGUUCAAGGAUGAAAGACGGUUUCGGCUGUCACUUACAGAUGGACCCGCGGCGCAUUAGCUAGUUGGUGAGGUAACGGCUCACCAAGGCGACGAUGCGUAGCCGACCUGAGAGGGUGAUCGGCCACACUGGGACUGAGACACGGCCCAGACUCCUACGGGAGGCAGCAGUAGGGAAUCUUCCGCAAUGGACGAAAGUCUGACGGAGCAACGCCGCGUGAGUGAUGAAGGUUUUCGGAUCGUAAAGCUCUGUUGUUAGGGAAGAACAAGUGCAAGAGUAACUGCUUGCACCUUGACGGUACCUAACCAGAAAGCCACGGCUAACUACGUGCCAGCAGCCGCGGUAAUACGUAGGUGGCAAGCGUUGUCCGGAAUUAUUGGGCGUAAAGGGCUCGCAGGCGGUUUCUUAAGUCUGAUGUGAAAGCCCCCGGCUCAACCGGGGAGGGUCAUUGGAAACUGGGAAACUUGAGUGCAGAAGAGGAGAGUGGAAUUCCACGUGUAGCGGUGAAAUGCGUAGAGAUGUGGAGGAACACCAGUGGCGAAGGCGACUCUCUGGUCUGUAACUGACGCUGAGGAGCGAAAGCGUGGGGGAGCGAACAGGAUUAGAUACCCUGGUAGUCCACGCCGUAAACGAUGAGUGCUG
RNAcentral lists this ribosomal RNA (800 nucleotides) under Bacillus safensis. Its description in RNAcentral is "bacterial SSU rRNA". It matches the Rfam family "Bacterial small subunit ribosomal RNA", at positions 41 to 818 of the family's 1533-position model. Lineage: Bacteria; Bacillati; Bacillota; Bacilli; Caryophanales; Bacillaceae. The record is from RNAcentral.